Molecule: ribosomal RNA, 490 nt
Filed under: uncultured bacterium
Lineage: Bacteria
Description: partial 16S ribosomal RNA
Rfam family: Bacterial small subunit ribosomal RNA
Source: RNAcentral
GAUGAACGCUAGCGGCAGGCCUAAUACAUGCAAGUCGAACGGGAUCCAGAUCAAAGCUUGCUUUGGUCUGGUGAGAGUGGCGCACGGGUGCGUAACGCGUGAGCAACCUACCCUUGUCAGGGGGAUAGCCCGGCGAAAGUCGGAUUAAUACCGCAUGACAUCAUUGAGAGGCAUCUUUCGAUGAUCAAAGAUUUAUCGGACAAGGAUGGGCUCGCGUGACAUUAGCUAGUUGGUAAGGUAACGGCUUACCAAGGCUGCGAUGUCUAGGGGCUCUGAGAGGAGAAUCCCCCACACUGGUACUGAGACACGGACCAGACUCCUACGGGAGGCAGCAGUAAGGAAUAUUGGUCAAUGGACGGAAGUCUGAACCAGCCAUGCUGCGUGCAGGAAGACGGCCCUAUGGGUUGUAAACUGCUUUUAUACGGGAACAAACGUCGGUACGUGUACCGGUCUGAGUGUACCGUAAGAAUAAGGAUCGGCUAACUCCGUG